Molecule: ribosomal RNA, 1528 nt
Filed under: Klebsiella aerogenes
Lineage: Bacteria; Pseudomonadati; Pseudomonadota; Gammaproteobacteria; Enterobacterales; Enterobacteriaceae
Also listed under: 1 other name
Description: bacterial SSU rRNA
Rfam family: Bacterial small subunit ribosomal RNA
Source: RNAcentral
AGAGUUUGAUCAUGGCUCAGAUUGAACGCUGGCGGCAGGCCUAACACAUGCAAGUCGAGCGGUAGCACAGAGAGCUUGCUCUCGGGUGACGAGCGGCGGACGGGUGAGUAAUGUCUGGGAAACUGCCUGAUGGAGGGGGAUAACUACUGGAAACGGUAGCUAAUACCGCAUAAUGUCGCAAGACCAAAGUGGGGGACCUUCGGGCCUCAUGCCAUCAGAUGUGCCCAGAUGGGAUUAGCUAGUAGGUGGGGUAACGGCUCACCUAGGCGACGAUCCCUAGCUGGUCUGAGAGGAUGACCAGCCACACUGGAACUGAGACACGGUCCAGACUCCUACGGGAGGCAGCAGUGGGGAAUAUUGCACAAUGGGCGCAAGCCUGAUGCAGCCAUGCCGCGUGUGUGAAGAAGGCCUUCGGGUUGUAAAGCACUUUCAGCGGGGAGGAAGGCGUUAAGGUUAAUAACCUUGGCGAUUGACGUUACCCGCAGAAGAAGCACCGGCUAACUCCGUGCCAGCAGCCGCGGUAAUACGGAGGGUGCAAGCGUUAAUCGGAAUUACUGGGCGUAAAGCGCACGCAGGCGGUCUGUCAAGUCGGAUGUGAAAUCCCCGGGCUCAACCUGGGAACUGCAUUCGAAACUGGCAGGCUAGAGUCUUGUAGAGGGGGGUAGAAUUCCAGGUGUAGCGGUGAAAUGCGUAGAGAUCUGGAGGAAUACCGGUGGCGAAGGCGGCCCCCUGGACAAAGACUGACGCUCAGGUGCGAAAGCGUGGGGAGCAAACAGGAUUAGAUACCCUGGUAGUCCACGCCGUAAACGAUGUCGAUUUGGAGGUUGUGCCCUUGAGGCGUGGCUUCCGGAGCUAACGCGUUAAAUCGACCGCCUGGGGAGUACGGCCGCAAGGUUAAAACUCAAAUGAAUUGACGGGGGCCCGCACAAGCGGUGGAGCAUGUGGUUUAAUUCGAUGCAACGCGAAGAACCUUACCUGGUCUUGACAUCCACAGAACUUUCCAGAGAUGGAUUGGUGCCUUCGGGAACUGUGAGACAGGUGCUGCAUGGCUGUCGUCAGCUCGUGUUGUGAAAUGUUGGGUUAAGUCCCGCAACGAGCGCAACCCUUAUCCUUUGUUGCCAGCGGUCUGGCCGGGAACUCAAAGGAGACUGCCAGUGAUAAACUGGAGGAAGGUGGGGAUGACGUCAAGUCAUCAUGGCCCUUACGACCAGGGCUACACACGUGCUACAAUGGCAUAUACAAAGAGAAGCGACCUCGCGAGAGCAAGCGGACCUCAUAAAGUAUGUCGUAGUCCGGAUUGGAGUCUGCAACUCGACUCCAUGAAGUCGGAAUCGCUAGUAAUCGUAGAUCAGAAUGCUACGGUGAAUACGUUCCCGGGCCUUGUACACACCGCCCGUCACACCAUGGGAGUGGGUUGCAAAAGAAGUAGGUAGCUUAACCUUCGGGAGGGCGCUUACCACUUUGUGAUUCAUGACUGGGGUGAAGUCGUAACAAGGUAACCGUAGGGGAACCUGCGGUUGGAUCACCU